AUUGAACGCUGGCGGCAGGCCUAACACAUGCAAGUCGAACGAGUGGCGGACGGGUGAGUAAUGUCUGGGAAACUGCCUGAUGGAGGGGGAUAACUACUGGAAACGGUAGCUAAUACCGCAUACCAUCAGAUGUGCCCAUAUGGGUGUAGCUUGUUGGUGGGGUAAAGGCUCACCAAGGCGACGAUCCCUAGCUGGUCUGAGAGGAUGACCAGCCACACAGGAACUGUGCCCCGGUCCAGCCUCCUACGGGAGGCAGCAGUGGGGAAUAUUGCACAAAGAGCGCAAGCCUGAUGCAGCCAUGCCGCGAGUAUGAAGAAGGCCUUCGGGUUGUAAAGUACUUUCAGCGUGGAGGCGUUACCCGCAGAAGAAGCACCGGCUAACUCCGUGCCAGCCGCCGCGGUAAUUC
Molecule: ribosomal RNA, 406 nt
Filed under: uncultured bacterium
Lineage: Bacteria
Description: partial 16S ribosomal RNA
Rfam family: Bacterial small subunit ribosomal RNA
Source: RNAcentral